This 253-nucleotide ribosomal RNA is filed under the name uncultured bacterium. RNAcentral describes it as "partial 16S ribosomal RNA". It matches the Rfam family "Bacterial small subunit ribosomal RNA", at positions 524 to 776 of the family's 1533-position model. The record is from RNAcentral.
UACGUAGGGUGCAAGCGUUGUCCGGAAUUAUUGGGCGUAAAGAGCGUGUAGGCGGCUUGGCAAGUCUGACGUGAAAUCCCGCGGCUCAACCGCGGUAGGUCGUUGGAAACUGCCUCGCUAGAGUCCGGAAGAGGAGAGCGGAAUUCCUGGUGUAGCGGUGGAAUGCGCAGAUAUCAGGAGGAACACCGAUGGCGAAGGCAGGUCUCUGGGCCAUUACUGACACUGAGAAGCGAAAGCAUGGGGAGCGAACAGG